This 148-nucleotide non-coding RNA is filed under the name Acetobacter indonesiensis. RNAcentral describes it as "FMN sequence". It matches the Rfam family "FMN riboswitch aptamer (RFN element)". Rfam says of the family: The RFN element is a highly conserved domain that is found frequently in the 5'-untranslated regions of prokaryotic mRNAs that encode for flavin mononucleotide (FMN) biosynthesis and transport proteins. This element is a metabolite-dependent riboswitch that directly binds FMN in the absence of proteins. In Bacillus subtilis, the riboswitch most likely controls gene expression by causing premature transcription termination within the 5' untranslated region of the ribDEAHT operon and precluding access to the ribosome-binding site of ypaA mRNA. The record is from RNAcentral. Lineage: Bacteria; Pseudomonadati; Pseudomonadota; Alphaproteobacteria; Acetobacterales; Acetobacteraceae.
UGACGUUCUCAGGGCAGGGUGCAAUUCCCUACCGGCGGUAAGUGGCAGAAUUUUCUGCUGUAAGCCCGCGAGCGCCUGCUUCGGCAGGGUCAGCAGAUCCGGUGUGAUUCCGGAGCCGACGGUAUAGUCCGGAUGAGAGAGAACGAUG